This is a long non-coding RNA of Ixodes scapularis (black-legged tick), 198 nucleotides long. RefSeq lists it as uncharacterized. The record is from RefSeq and is a predicted model, not a curated record. Lineage: Eukaryota; Metazoa; Arthropoda; Arachnida; Ixodida; Ixodidae. The transcript has 3 exons.
AGAAAUCGAUGGUGAACCGCCAGUCAUUGAGGAUGUGGAAGAAACCGACAGUGAACCACCUUUCAUUGAUGAUGUUGAAGCGAGGCACAUCUUUCGAAGGAAGACAGUAUGAGGCGAAAGAAGAGUCAUUCAAUACAUUUAUAAAGGAAACAUUCCAGAUAUACGGAAUGGAUCCCCUAAACCUUUCUACGCAUACAA